AUGGAGGGCAUCUACUUCCAGUUGCUCCUUGUCUCGCUGGUGGCCCUGGCGCUCCAACAGCUGCUGAAGCUGGCCAAGAAGCCUAGCAGGAGGAUGCCGCCGGGACCGUGGAAGCUGCCGGUCAUCGGCAGCUUGCACCACCUCAUGAACGUGCUGCCGCACCGCGCGCUGCGGGACCUGGCCAACGUUCACGGUCCCCUCAUGAUGCUGCAGCUCGGCGAGACGCCGCUCGUCGUGGCGUCCUCCAAGGAGAUGGCACGGGAGGUGCUAAAGACGCACGACAGCAACUUGGGCAGCCGGCCCAAGCCACUCGUCGGCGAGAUCGUUGGCUACAAUUCUAACAACCUCAUCUAUAGUCCCUCUGGCGACUCCUGUACCAGGACCCGGAAGCUCUAGACCACGGAGCUCCUCUGCACCGGGCGCGUGCUCUCCUUCCGCCACGUCAGGGAGGAGGAGGUGUGCUCGCAGGUGAUGGUGCGAGUGGAGCAGAUCCGCAAGGCGGGGCCGUCAACGCCGGUUAACCUGAGCCUGAUAUUGCACGAGCUGACCACCGCCAUGCUGUUGCGGGCAGCAUGGGGGAAGACGCGGAUCAAGAACAUGCCGGAACUCCUGGCUGGUGUGAGGACCGGCAUAGCCCUGUCCAGCGGCUUCAGUCUGCCGGACCUCUUCCAGACGUGGAAGCGCUCGGUGCUCGCCGGGGUCACGGGCAUGAAGCGAAGCCUCGAGAGCCUCCACAAGACGAUUGACUCCGUGUUUGAGGAGGUCAUCGAGGAGAGGAUGUGCGCGCGCGCUGAGAAUGUCAAGACUGGCGCAGAGAACGUCGAUGAGAACCUCGUGGACGUGCUCAUCGGCAUGCAGGAGAAAGGCGACUCCGUCUUCCCUAUCGACAAACCCAGAAUCAAGGCCUUCCUUCUGGACACGCUGGCGGCUGGGACGGGGACGUCCGGGUCGGCGAUGGAGUGGACCAUGUCGGAGCUGAUUCGGAAUCCAAAGGUUAUGGCGAAGCUCCAGGAGCAGGUCCGGGAGGCGUUCCGGGGGAAAGCAGUGGUGACGGAGGGGGACAUGCAGGCAGCCGACAUCCGGUACCUAAAGCUAGUGAUGAAGGAGGCGCUCCGGCUGCACCCGCCGGCCCCGCUGCUGGUCGGCCGGGAGAGCAUUGACGUGUGCGAGGUGGACGGGUACACGAUCCCAGCCAAGUCACGCGUCCUCGUCAACGUGUGGGCGAUCGGCCAGGACCCCAAGUACUGGGACGCCCCCGAGGAAUUCAAGCCGGAGCGGUUCGAGAAGGGCGACAUCGAUUUCAUGGGCAGCCACUACCAGUUCACCACGUUCGGCGCCGGCCGGAGGAUGUGCCCCGGCAUUAGCUACGGCCUCGCCAGCAUGGAGCUCGCCCUCGUCUCCCUCCUCUACCACUUCGACUGGUCGCUGCCGGAGGGCGUCAGCGAGCUUGACAUGGGGGAGGCACCGGGACUCGGUGUGCGCCGCCGGUCGCCACUGCUGCUCCGGGCCACCCCCGUCCUCCCGGCGGACUGCGCGGAAUAG
RNAcentral lists this ribosomal RNA (1542 nucleotides) under Triticum aestivum (bread wheat). RNAcentral's name for it is "partial small subunit ribosomal RNA". Lineage: Eukaryota; Viridiplantae; Streptophyta; Magnoliopsida; Poales; Poaceae. The record is from RNAcentral.